UUAUUCUAUUACAGAAACACUUUAUUCCAUUCUUCCUUUGCUUCUUCCCUCCUUUCUUUGGCUCUUCUGUCCUUUCCUCUUUCCUUUCCUUCCUCCUUUCUUUCCUUCCCCCUUUAGUGGAAUUAACACAAAGGGAAAAAGACGACUUGAAUAAGAGAGACAAGAAAUGCUCUUAAUACCGCUAAGACUUUCAAUGACAAGAUGACAAUCUUAUAGAUAGGGAAAGAUUUGUUAAUUUCUUCACCCAUGUAUUAUGAAGUAUUUUCUCCCCAUUAAUGCUAUUUGUGAGAUGACAGUGAUGUAUCUUAGAUAUCCUUAGUGUUACCCUAUCACUCUUACUGUAAGGCUCUUUAUCCAAUUUCACAGAUGAUAACUUCUAGUUUGUAAACCAUUGGUUAUCAAUUAAAAGAAAUCAUCCAGAACUAACUCUUUGGCUAGUGUAAUUAAUCUUUAUAUAGUCUAAUCCCUAUUUUAUGAAGAGAUCUGCAUCAAAGAAUAGAGUAUUUACUCCAAAUCAUACCCUUGGUGUUAUGAUAAUCAGUUUUUCUAUCAUUUAAGUCAUCUAGAAGAAAGGGGAGAAAAUGAUGUAUCUCACAUAAAUACUAUUAUUCAUCAUGUUUAAAAUCAUACAGUUUUACUAAAUGAGGAAUUCUGAAUUCUUCACCUUUUUUUACAAGGUUAACUCUGAAUAUGAAAUAACACAAACAGUUAAGAAUAAUAAAUGAAUAAUGACAAAAGUAUUAAAGAUUAGUAUUCGCUAGACAAGGCAGUUGAGGAGGAGGGAGCGCUUGGAGGGGGGGUUGGCCUGGCGUGCACUCCGCACCUCGGGGACGCUGCUGCGCGUGGAACGGCUGCUUUUGGAAGACUGUUGCGCAGAAGAAAAGAUGUUUGGUUUCCACAAGCCAAAGAUGUACCGAAGUAUAGAGGGCUGCUGUAUUUGCAGAGCUAAGUCCUCCAGUUCUCGAUUCACUGACAGUAAACGCUACGAAAAGGACUUCCAGAGCUGUUUUGGGUUGCAUGAAACUCGUUCGGGAGACAUCUGCAAUGCCUGUGUCCUGCUUGUGAAAAGAUGGAAGAAGUUGCCAGCAGGAUCAAAAAAAAACUGGAAUCAUGUGGUAGAUGCAAGGGCAGGACCCAGCCUAAAGACUACAUUGAAACCAAAGAAAGUGAAAACUCUGUCUGGAAACAGGAUAAAAAGCAACCAGAUCAGUAAACUGCAGAAGGAAUUUAAACGUCAUAAUUCUGAUGCUCACAGUACCACCUCAAGUGCCUCCCCAGCUCAGUCUCCAUGUUAUAGUAACCAGUCAGAUGAUGGCUCAGAUAUAGAGAUGGCUUCUGGUUCCAAUAGAACACCAGUUUUUUCCUUUUUAGAUCUCACAUACUGGAAAAGACAGAAAAUAUGUUGUGGGAUUAUCUACAAAGGCCGUUUUGGGGAAGUCCUCAUCGACACACAUCUAUUCAAGCCUUGCUGCAGCAAUAAGAAAGCAGCUGCUGAGAAGCCGGAGGAGCAGGGCCCAGAGCCUCUGCCCAUCUCCACUCAGGAGUGGUGACUGAGGUUUUUAUGUAGAAGGGGAACAAAAAAUGAUUUAAGUUUUGAAAAGACCACAAAGCAACAAGCUGACCCUCCUAUUUUUAACUUGGAUACCUGCUAUUCUGCCAAAAGACAACUUCUAGAAUAGUUUCGAAUGGGUUAUUUUCCCCCCAGUUCCACAACCUCUGAAGCCAGUGUCUAGCUUACUAAAAAAAGAAUUGUAUAUAAUAUUUAAGAUGCUGAGUAUUUCAUAGGAAAGCUGAAUGCUGCUGUAAAGUGCUCUUUAAGUCUUCUUCUUCUUUUUUUUUUUUUUUAAAUCCCCUUCUAAUGAAUGAAACUAAGGGGAAUUUCAGGGGACAGUGAUGGGAUUUGUUGUAUGAUAAACAGUAUGUAGUUUUAGUCUUUCUAUAUUGAGAAGCAGUGGUUGGGGCAUAUUUUAAGAUGGCUGGCUACACUUGUUUUCCCUCAUGAUAAUAAAGUUGUCAUAACUCAGCAACACGGACUUGCUCCUAGAGGUAAUUGUUAAGAAUUUUGAAAUAUUAAGGUCUUGCCAAGGUUCUGAUGAUUCAAACCUGUACUACUGAUUAUUAAGCAGGACAGACUGAGCUUUCUGUUAGAAAUACCUUGAAGGAAAAAGUAAUUUCUAAAUAUACAGAGAUGUCAACUUGACUGUAUAUUUUGCAUCCUGUGCCACCUCCCUUCAUAUUAAUAUUUGAUACGGAUUUUAAUUUAUGUGAAAUUUCUAAAGCAGAAUGAAAGCUCUUUUUGGGGGAAUGGCAAAUCUUUGGGAUAGGUGAGACCCGAGGUGAAUAGUACCAAAGCAUUACCCCACGGUAGACAGCACACUUGAUUAAAAAUGUUAAACUGUCUGAGAAAUAAAAUGUUCAAGUCUUCAAGAUGGCACAAAACAAAGGUUGAUGCUUUUGGGGGCGUAUUUUCUUAGAGGGCUUGCCGAGUAUGUAAAUAAUUGACUUUGUUUGUGUUACAUGACUGUUGAUGACUUCAUUGAAAAUCUGCACAAUUCAGUUUUAGCUCUGGAUUACUUCAGUUGACCUUUGUGAAGGUUUUAUCUGUGUAGAGUGGAUGUUUGACUUGUUUUAACCUAUUAGGGUUUUUAUUGUUUUUCACUCUAUAUUUAAAGUAAAAUUUACUAAAAGAAAAGAGGUGUGUGUUAAUGCUAAGUGGGUUGGCUUUGGUUUGGCUUCUGUUAGUCAGGCUUUUGAACAUUGAAAUAUCCUGAACUUGGAGUUCUUCAGUUCUAAAAUUCUCAUUAAAAGCCUCUCAUUUGAACCCAAACCAAAGUACUCUUCUUGCCUCUUUUCUAAAAGUUCAGGAGAAAAAUAUCACCAGUUCAGACUUAUUUUCAUAAUGAGGGAGGAGCAUUUGCCUGCCUUAUAAUGACAUGACUCAGUGCUUAUUUUUUAAACUGGAUUUUAAAAAUUGGAUAGUGUAACAAUAAGGAGUGAGCCACUUUUUAUGGACACCCUAUAGUUUUAUAGUUCUUACUCUAAACAUUUUAUAUUUCCUCCUUUUGGAAAAAAACCUAUAUGCUAUAAGCCACCAUAUGCGUAGACUACACAGCUGGUUGGGUCGGCUCUCUCACAGCCUUUGAGGUGAAUUUACAAGAGUCCAGCCAUUAUCAUCCUCCUGAGUUAUUUUGAAAUGUUUUUUUUUUUUUUUGUACAUUUUGGCUGCAGUAUUGGUGGUAGAAUAUACUAUAAUAUGGAUCA
Non-coding RNA from Microcebus murinus (gray mouse lemur), 3261 nucleotides. The record is from RefSeq and is a predicted model, not a curated record. NCBI's taxonomy places the organism in Eukaryota, Metazoa, Chordata, Mammalia, Primates, Cheirogaleidae.